Molecule: RNA transcript, 1212 nt
Organism: Gymnodraco acuticeps
Lineage: Eukaryota; Metazoa; Chordata; Actinopteri; Perciformes; Bathydraconidae
Exons: 8
Source: RefSeq, a predicted model, not a curated record
UGUUUAAUGGGAGUGAGUUCCAGAGGGAGGGGGCAGCGAUGGAGAAAGCUCUGUCUCCCCAGGUUCGGUGCUUGGUUUGUGGGGGGAUAGACAGGAGGUUGGCUUCUGAUGAGUUAAUUGAAAGACCGUUCUUUAAUACUAUUAUAAUAUUUAGGUAGCCGAAAAAUAUCCACUCUUUUUGACUUAACCUAGCUGUCCUACAUUUUAUUUCUCCACAGAUGUACUGUCCAUUCUGUGGUGCCAGCGUGACAUCUUCGCAUGGCUUUUGUGGUGUCUGUGGCAGAGACAUCACAUUUCUAAAAGAUGUGACUAACAAAGUCCCUGAGGAGAUGCCCACCACUAGUGCGCAUCUAAGUGCACAGCCUAGCACCAGUGCAGAUUUCUGUUGGAGUAAUGAGGAGGAUGGAUGGCUGCCAUAAACCUGUGAGAGGGAGGUCACUUCCCCUUAAUGUUGAACCUCAAUGGGCAUGUGAAGAACUGUUGGCUGCUGCCAUAAAAAAGCAGAAAGCCUUUAACCAGGACUUGGAAGAUGGUGCCCAUGUCUUGUUGUACCCUGAUGCGACGGUGAUAACAAAUAUCCCCGGAACGGACACCCCUUUCACAGUACAGAUGUACAAAGAGGCCAUUGGAAAGCCCUACCAACGAAUUACGUUGUACAUCUGUACUCUUGAAGCCGUUGAAAACAGUUGUUACACUGGAACAACCUCUUCAAGUGACGAGGACAGUGUGGUUGUUGCAAAGUUGCCAUCUGGAGACAGUCUUGCUGACACCGUGGUGUGGGACUUUCCAAAUGAACAGAGCACUCCCAGAAUGGACAACAGUUUGCCAGGACCUCUCAGGCACCCACAACCAGCGUCUGAUCGGUAGGAUGGAGAACCAACCCCAUUCCAGGAAGAGGUCCAGUCUGCCCCGGGUCAGAACACCUUCUAUAGGUAAACGAUGUUGACAGUUGCAUCGUGACACAGUUGUUUGCAACUACACAACUGUGUAUGCACUUAUCAUUAUUGACAGCCAGUCUGAGCCAGAAGAGGAAACGGAGCAAACUGCAGAGGAAAUCACAGAAUACCUGACUGCGCCAGACAUUGUUGCAGAACUCUCUGCAAAAAUUAAAAAUACCUCUUGCAGCAGGUUCAAUAUUAAUAGAGCCAAUGUGUAGGAUGGAGCAAUCCGUGGCUUCAAAGGGGCCUCAUUCGACCCCUCUCAUCAGAUGCA